GGUUCAGGAUGAACGCUAGCGGCAGGCUUAACACAUGCAAGUCGAGGGCAUCGGGAGUAGCAAUACUUGCCGGCGACCGGCGCAAGGGUGCGUAACGCGUGAGCAACAUGCCCGUAUCAGGGGGAUAAUCCAUGGAAACGUGGUCUAAUACCCCAUAGUAAUUAUGUAAGGCAUCUUAUAUAAUUUAAAGCUUUGGUGGAUACGGAUUGGCUCGCGUGACAUUAGCUGGAUGGUAAGGUAACGGCUUACCAUAGCUACGAUGUCUAGGGGUUCUGAGAGGAAGGUCCCCCACACUGGAACUGAGACACGGUCCAGACUCCUACGGGAGGCAGCAGUGAGGAAUAUUGGACAAUGGAUGGAAAUCUGAUCCAGCCAUGCCGCGUGCCAGGAAGACGGCCCUAUGGGUUGUAAACUGCUUUUGUAUGGGAGCAAUAAGGGCUACGUGUAGUCCGAUGAGAGUACCAUACGAAUAGGCACCGGCUAACUCCGUGCCAGCCGCCGC
Molecule: ribosomal RNA, 502 nt
Filed under: uncultured bacterium
Lineage: Bacteria
Description: bacterial SSU rRNA
Rfam family: Bacterial small subunit ribosomal RNA
Source: RNAcentral